GAUGAAGAACGCAGCGAAAUGCGAUAAGUAAUGUGAAUUGCAGAAUUCAGUGAAUCAUCGAAUCUUUGAACGCACAUUGCGCCCAUUAGUAUUCUAGUGGGCAUGCCUGUUCGAGCGUCAUUAAGUCCACUUAAGCCUAGCUUAGUGUUGGGAGACUGCUCCAGUGGUGCUACCCUGUAGCUACCCUGCAGCUCCUUAAAGACAGCGGCGGAGUCGUGUUAUCCUCUGAGCUUAGUAAUCAUUCUAGCUUUCGAGAGUAUCACUUCACCUGCCGUUAAACCACCUAAUUUUUAUGGUUGACCUCGGAUCAGGUAGGAAUACCCGCUGAACUUAAGCAUAUCAAUAAGCGGAGGA
Molecule: unclassified non-coding RNA, 354 nt
Filed under: soil metagenome
Description: partial contains 5.8S ribosomal RNA, internal transcribed spacer 2, and large subunit ribosomal RNA
Rfam family: 5.8S ribosomal RNA (bases 1-120)
Source: RNAcentral